Lotus japonicus is the source of this 627-nucleotide long non-coding RNA. RefSeq lists it as uncharacterized. Lineage: Eukaryota; Viridiplantae; Streptophyta; Magnoliopsida; Fabales; Fabaceae. The transcript has 3 exons. The record is from RefSeq and is a predicted model, not a curated record.
UUGGAGGUACGUCUCGGAUCUCUGCAUAGGGCACGGAAAAACCGCUCCAAGACCCGACCCUUGACCCGGCCCUUGCAGAUUUCUUUUGAUGAACAGUGCUGAAAACCCUCUAGCUUUAGUUAGUUAUAGAUUUAAAAAGGGUGGAAAAUUCAUACUUAAUCACUGAUCCGAACUUCCAUACCAGACUUUUUCUUUUCCCUCUCUUACUAUUCUGUAUUGGUAAUUCUGAUAUGUAUUAACCUUCAUCCUAUCCGACAUGAGACUGAAAUUUGUGUUGUUUUCUUUUGGCAGCUUGAACUUCAUGUAAAUCAUAUGCUGGGGAAGGACCAAUUCCUAUGGCUUGUGUGUGUCUAAUACUUCUGCUAUGCAGCCAGCGAUUGCAUUUGCUAUCAUAGAGCAACUUUAUGAGGUGCAGUGGUGUUAUGGGAAGCUGUAGGAGAACUCAAGCCUCCAUCAUCUUGUAUGGUAUAUUUUUAAUUACAAAAUACUAUGUUAAGAUCUUCCUGAAAUGGUGCCAAAAUGAUUCAUAAACUUGAUUUUCAGUAAUCUUAAUUGCAACAGGUUGUAGUUUUUUCCGUGUAAAACAAUUGCUUACUCAUAUAUUUUUGUUUUGCCUCUCUUGCACAA